CCUACGUGAGGCAGCAGUGGGGAAUAUUUGGCAAUGGGCGCAAGCCUGACCCAGCAACGCCGCGUGAAGGAAGAAGGCUUUCGGGUUGUAAACUUCUUUUGUCAGGGAAGAGUAGAAGACGGUACCUGACGAAUAAGCCACGGCUAACUACGUGCCAGCCGCCGCGGUAAUACGUAGGUGGCAAGCGUUGUCCGGAUUUACUGGGUGUAAAGGGCGUUUAGGCGGGUUGACAAGUCAGAGGUGAAAUCCUGGGGCUUAACCGCAGAACUGCAUUUGAAACUGUUGAUCUUGAGUACUGGAGAGGCAGACGGAAUUCCUAGUGUAGCGGUGAAAUGCGUAGAGAUUAGGAGGAACACCAGUGGCGAAGGCGGUCUGCUGGACAGCAACUGACGGUGAGGCGCGAAAGCGUGGGGAGCAAACAGGAUUAGAUACCCUAGUAGUC
RNAcentral lists this ribosomal RNA (442 nucleotides) under uncultured bacterium. Its description in RNAcentral is "partial 16S ribosomal RNA". It matches the Rfam family "Bacterial small subunit ribosomal RNA", at positions 338 to 795 of the family's 1533-position model. The record is from RNAcentral.